AACAGGUGCCGUCUACGAUGGCCAAAGAGAAAAGCCGGUAAAAGCCGGCGCGGUCCCGCCGCUGUGAGGGGAGUAAACUUGCAUUAUGCCACUGGAGAAUCUGGGAAGGCGCAGGUGAGCGAUGAACCGAGCCAGAAGAACUGCCUGUCC
Molecule: non-coding RNA, 150 nt
Filed under: uncultured Selenomonas sp.
Lineage: Bacteria; Bacillati; Bacillota; Negativicutes; Selenomonadales; Selenomonadaceae
Source: RNAcentral